Molecule: ribosomal RNA, 496 nt
Filed under: uncultured bacterium
Lineage: Bacteria
Description: partial 16S ribosomal RNA
Rfam family: Bacterial small subunit ribosomal RNA
Source: RNAcentral
AUGAACGCUGGCGGCGUGCCUAAUCCAUGCAAGUCGAGCGCACAGACGAGGAGCUUGCUCCUCUGACGUUAGCGGCGGACGGGUGAGUAACACGUGGAUAACCUACCUAUAAGACUGGGAUAACUUCGGGAAACCGGAGCUAAUACCGGAUAAUAUAUUGAACCGCAUGGUUCAAUAGUGAAAGACGGUUUUGCUGUCACCUAUAGAUGGAUCCGCGCCGCAUUAGCUAGUUGGUAAGGUAACGGCUUACCAAGGCAACGAUGCGUAGCCGACCUGAGAGGGUGAUCGGCCACACUGGAACUGAGACACGGUCCAGACUCCUACGGGAGGCAGCAGUAGGGAAUCUUCCGCAAUGGGCGAAAGCCUGACGGAGCAACGCCGCGUGAGUGAUGAAGGUCUUCGGAUCGUAAAACUCUGUUAUUAGGGAAGAACAAAUGUGUAAGUAACUAUGCACGUCUUGACGGUACCUAAUCAGAAAGCCACGGCUAACUACGUG